RNAcentral lists this ribosomal RNA (742 nucleotides) under uncultured Inocybe. RNAcentral's name for it is "partial 28S ribosomal RNA". It matches the Rfam family "Eukaryotic large subunit ribosomal RNA", at positions 234 to 962 of the family's 3401-position model. The record is from RNAcentral. Lineage: Eukaryota; Fungi; Basidiomycota; Agaricomycetes; Agaricales; Cortinariaceae.
UGCAUGCAUGUUAUGGUGCGCUCUCAAAGAGUCGAGUUGUUUGGGAAUGCAGCUCAAAAUGGGUGGUAAAUGCCAUCUAAAGCUAAAUAUUGGCGAGAGACCGAUAGCGAACAAGUACCGUGAGGGAAAGAUGAAAAGAACUUUGGAAAGAGAGUUAAACAGUACGUGAAAUUGCUGAAAGGGAAACGCUUGAAGUCAGUCGCGUCGGCUAGAAAUCAACCUUGCUUUUGCUUGGUGUACUUUCUUGUUGAUGGGUCAGCAUCAAUUUUGACCGUUGGAUAAAGUCGUUGGGAAUGUGGCAUCUUGGGAUGUGUUAUAGCCCAUCGUCGCAUACAGCGGUUGGGAUUGAGGAACUCAGCACGCGCCUUUGGGCGUCGGGGCUUUGCCCACGAUACGUGCUUAGGAUGCUGGCGUAAUGGCUUUAAACGACCCGUCUUGAAACACGGACCAAGGAGUCUAACAUGCCUGCGAGUGUUCGGGUGGAAAACCCGUGCGCGCAAUGAAAGUGAAAGUUGGGACCUCUGUCGUGGAGGGCACCGACGCCCGGACCAGACCUUCUGUGACGGUUCUGCGGUAGAGCAUGUAUGUUAGGACCCGAAAGAUGGUGAACUAUGCCUGAAUAGGGUGAAGCCAGAGGAAACUCUGGUGGAGGCUCGUAGCGAUUCUGACGUGCAAAUCGAUCGUCAAAUUUGGGUAUAGGGGCGAAAGACUAAUCGAACCAUCUAGUAGCUGGGUUCCUGCC